AUUUCUGACAAACGUUAUAACAUGUGAACUGACAUGACCAAUCUGCGUGAUGGGUGUUUCAAAAUGCCUGAUGAUAUUAUUAUAACAUGCUUUAUUGGGGUUAAAAUACCGACACGCUUCUUUGAUUAUGUUUCCAUGUAAAAUAACAUGAUGCACAUAGCUACUAGACUGUUUCAUUUUAUAAUCGAAAAUUCAGUUAAAUGUAUGUUAACCUACAUCGAAAUAUGGAAUGUCAUAAACGAGGAUUUGCAGAAAAAAUCUUGAGCAGAGAUAAUUAAUAUUCAGUUCUUUGAUUCAUGAAUAUCAUUGUAUCGACUAUCAUCCGGCUGCAGACUGUUCGUUGUGCAUCAUAUAAAUAUCUCAAAUAGCCAAGUUAAUAAAUUAUCAGAUGUUUUAAUAAUGAAAUAAUUUAUAGAUAAAUCCAUCGCCUUUUUAGGAAUACUCCCUCCGAAUGUUCACGAGCUUUCUCCGCGCCUGUGUAAACUAUUUUUAGGCGAAGGACGUCGUUGCAAACUAUUAAAUGCAUCGAUAUCAGCUGUCAGAGUCGUAAGUUUGAAAUCACCAGACACACAGAAGCAGCAGGUCCAACCGCAAUAAGAAAAGACAAACAUAUUUGCAAGUGAUGUUUCAUCUUAUAAAGCUACACUUUCACAUGAUUCAUUGACAACUGCUCGACUACCCUCUGAUAGUGCACAUGCAAGGCUUGAAAUGGAUGGUAACCAAAAAGGUGAAGACCAAAUAUUAGACACUCAGCAAAAAAAAGAGAAUAGCGACAAGUAUUGCAGCUAUUUUCAAUUAUGUGGACCUUGUAACUUGAUUAAAAAAAACAAGACGUGCGACCUACAUCUGCAAGCUGUGUGAUGACAAAUUUCUUUGCGAUGAAUGUAGUACACAACACAGAGCACAACAAUUUACAUAAGGUCAUGCGUUUUCGACCGUUCGACUCACGAGAUGGCACAACUAAAACCCACUAUUGUGUGAACCUAAAUCUGUUCCAACAGUCACAGAAGCUGCAGGAUUGGACCCAACCGAUUCGAAAAAACCUGGUAGGCCGACAGCUACUGAAAUCAAGAGUAAUAAAGUCCAUCUGAGCUGGACACAGCCAAUACAGUUUGGAGAAAAGGAUUACUUUCAAGUCAGUUUAAAAGAAAACAUACCUGACUCUAGAUGGAAAGCAUAUCGCGACUAUUUUACAAAGUGUACCGGCGUUUUGGUUAACUUAAAUACAGACACUCAAUAUGUAUUUUGAGUGCGAGUUGUUCAUGCAGAUAUGGAGGGUUCUAUUAGUGACGAAAGUGAUGUUGUUCAUACGCUUAGAUCCGCCGCAUCAGAAAUGGUCAGUCUUUCUGUUCGCAUGAGUGAAGAGAACAUUGUACCGGCUCGAUAAGCGUUACCAUUAGAGGAAAUAAAACAAGCUAGAAAUGAUAAAGCAAGAACAAGAAAAAUUUUCGUUGGGAAUGGACAAUACAGAACACCCAUUGAGAAGACUAUCAUGUUGAAACAGGAACUGGAAAAAGUACUCUAGUUGAUGGAAAGGCCAACUACGUUCUGGGAGUUGAGUGGGGCGAUCCCUUUAGAUCUCAACUUGUUCUUGAUGAAAAUGAAACAGAGAAAUCACAUAAUAAGGGAUUAUCACAUACUGAAUGGAUUACUUGCUACACAGUUCAUCCUCAGAAAGGAAGUAAAUACCCGUACACUAUCAACAUAAUUGAUACUCCAGGAUUUGGUGAUAGAAGAGGGGUAAAUAGAGACAAGAAAACUGUCGAACAUUUUCGAUAUUUAUUUUCAUCGGAUGGGCAAUAUGGAGUAAUAGACAUUGAUGUUUUUUGCCUAAUAUUCAAUGCGCAUAACUCCCGAAUUAUAGUAACGGAGAGCUAUAUAAUCCAGUCAAUACUGUCAUUGUUUGGGAUAAAUAUUGAAAACAACAUUUGUUCCCUGAUUACAUUUGCAGAUGGCAACGAUCCUCCUGUCAAUACAACGCUACAAAAAAUAGAUUAGCCGUUUGGAGAACGAUUCACGUUCAAUAACUCUAGUCUUUUUGAAAAUAACACAAAUAGAUCAACGUCUUUUUCGCCGCUUUUCUGGCAAAAAACGCAUGAGGGUUUUGAGAAUUUUUUUCAAGCAUGUAAAUACUUUGUUUAAAAAGAGUUUGCAACAAACACGUGAUGUUUUAUAUGAAAGAAAACGGAUGGAAGUAACAAUUGAAAAUCUACAGACGCAACUGUAUGGUGCCCUCGACUUAGUUAAGCAAAUUAAACAUGAAAUGGAUAUUUUUGACAAAAAUAAAUCCAUAAUAGCUGAAAAUAUUUUUUUUCAAUAUGUUGUGACGGAAGUGCGGCAGAAAAAACGCGCUCUACCUGCUGGGGUAUAUGCAAUUAACUGCACUUACUGUCACUUUACAUGCAAAAGACCGUAUGGUACAUCGAACGAUACGAAUGGCAGCGCAGCAAAAGGCUUUUGCGUUGUUUGUCCGAAAAAAUGUGCUUGGACACAACAUGUGAAUAUUCCUUACUUGUUCACCUAUAACACUGUUGAAGUUAGGAAGACGUAUGAAGAGAUGGAGAAGAAAUAUAAUGUUGCUUCGGGGGAAUAAACCUUUCACUGGAACAAAUUCUGAAACGAAUGCGUGAGGAGCUGCAAAAAAGGAUGGAAUCAAUAAACGGUAUGAUGGACAUCGUUAAAAACAGCAAUGAACGUCUGACGGACAUUGCACUUCGUCCACGCCCAACGAAUGAGGCAGAACUGAACAAGCACAUAAUCGGACACGAACAGUUUACAAAGAUAAUUGGAUAUCAAGGACGGGUUGGGGCACUGUCCACACGGCUUGGAAGGACAGGGAUCGCUGACACUGCAAAACAGCUAACCGAUGAGUUCCAAACCGUUGGAAUAAAAGAAAAUGAAAAAGAUAUAUUUCUGAAAGGCCUGCAAGGUAUAUACAAAAUAUUUGGCAUGAAUAUUCCUUAGGCUGGCAAGCAUUUUCGUUCAUUUCUAUAAUAAAUUAAACAACAAUCUAUGUUAAAACAAACGCAACAUGUUCAUGUUGCCGAAAACAAAUGUGGUGAUUAAACUUUGAUAUAAAUUGAGUAUACUUUAGUUCUGACAUGUGUAACAAAGAAAAGAAUAAUACGAAAAAAGUAAAUUUGCAAACGUGUGAUUAGUUAUACAACGACACGCAUCUGUUUAACAAAAAAAAAACGCAGUAAAUCAAUCGUGGGCUACGCACAAAAAUUACGGUCGCCAAAUAAUUUGAAAAUAGUUCGAGAAAACUUUUUUUCGUUAUUAUUAUAGCGUCCUAUAUUAAUCAUGUAGUGUUCUAUAUUAAUCACGUAGUGAAGUACAACCGUUUGUAAUUGUACAUGUUUUGAUAUGUUUAAGUUCAUAACAAAUCAUAAUAUUUUCUGACAAGCGUGUAUCAAAACAUUGUAAUAAAAUCUUUGAUACACGCUUGUCGGUAAAAUAUUAUAAAAAUUGCAGACUUUUGGUAUGGUAUGUUACUUACCUAAUUAUUGAGGUGUCCAUUAAACGCUGUUGUCUGUAUUGUUGAUUUGUAUGCUGCCUUUUGUUAUUUUUUUGAUUAAUCUAAAUUAUAUGAUAAUGAUUAACAAAGGGUUCCGAAAUCAUGAAGCUGUAUUUAAAAUAUGAUUCAGUGUAAGUAUUACAACGGUAAACGAUGUUUAUUAUCAAACAACGCUGGCUAUCGCCGCCAUAUGUUAAUUAUUAUAAAUCGGAACACCGCAAUAACUAUCGUUAAGCCGUCACACUUUCGUAAGUAAAUUCACUUAAGCAGGGUAUUUUUUUCUAGAGCAAAAAUUUCCAUUUUAAACACACUUUAUUGCGAGAAUGUUUAUUGGAGAAAACGGGCUUGUAUCUUAAAAUCUCGUUUAUGAUUAAGCUGAUUAGUCUGAUAAUACGUUGCUUACUAUUGUAAUAAACAUAAAAUAUAAAAAUCAUUUGCGGGGCUAAACGCAAUUUGUAUAGUCUUGCGAAAUGUAUGAAUUGUAUUUUUGUAAAUGUGUGAUGAGAUAUGAUAAUAUUUGUUUGAAUGGUGAACCGCGCUUUUCAUGAACGAAUGAGCUAUUAUGUUAACAAUUUAAAUAAAGAAGUCCUGAACCCAGAAAUUUGAUGGUUUCAUGUAAUUGGAAGAACGCUUAAUAAAAUUACUAAUGUA
Dreissena polymorpha is the source of this 4168-nucleotide long non-coding RNA. RefSeq lists it as uncharacterized. The transcript is spliced from 6 exons. The record is from RefSeq and is a predicted model, not a curated record. Lineage: Eukaryota; Metazoa; Mollusca; Bivalvia; Myida; Dreissenidae.